Non-coding RNA from Camelina sativa (false flax), 101 nucleotides. The record is from RefSeq and is a predicted model, not a curated record. NCBI's taxonomy places the organism in Eukaryota, Viridiplantae, Streptophyta, Magnoliopsida, Brassicales, Brassicaceae.
GAGAGAGAGAGAGAGAGAGAGAGAGAGAGAGAGAGAGAGAGGGGCGUACUAUCCGCUUCAACCCUACUGCGAAACAAAGAAGGCACAAACUCUCUCUAUAC